This is a long non-coding RNA of Leopardus geoffroyi (Geoffroy's cat), 2716 nucleotides long. RefSeq lists it as uncharacterized. The record is from RefSeq and is a predicted model, not a curated record. Lineage: Eukaryota; Metazoa; Chordata; Mammalia; Carnivora; Felidae. The transcript has 2 exons.
CCAAGAACUGCGUUUAGGGACCAGAUCGCUCACAGCCUGGUUGGCGAAGGGGAUCCCAUCCCACGAGGUAUGCGCCUGGCACAAGACGGUGGCCCAGACUGCGGCGACAGUCUGAAUAGUUGACUCUUACUGUCUUGCGUUCAACACUGCAUUCGGAUUGAUAUGUUUGGCAGUCGUGUGAAUCCUGAGCCGGACCCUUGGAACGCAGGAUGAUCCAGCUGACACAAUAAAGGAAGGAAAAAAAAAUCAACCCAGCAAGAUCAAAAGGAAAAAGAAAGAGAUCUGAACACUUCUGACCAAAACGCAGCUUCGUCGGUGUCUUCAGUGAACUAGAGAAAAUAUCACACAUCUGUGCAACACGAAUAGGGCUCCGAGAGUAGAAGUCACAGCAAGGAAGGGCUGUGGGAUCAAAACUAGAGGAGAAACCUCAGGACAAGGCUUAGGAGUCAAAGAAAUCCCCUGGAAAAUAGUUGAGGAGACGGAGGAACAGACACUGCGAGGGAAGGGCCCCAGGGUCCGCGUAGGAGUCUCCUGUGUGACUAGGAGUGGCAGAAACUGCUGCUGGGGACAGCCCCUCCUGCACCGCGGGGACCCUGGCUGGUACACUUGGGAAGGUUCCUGACGGGGUGGCGGGGAGCUGCCCGCAGGGCUCUCGUGUCCUGCUCUGCCCGGUGCCACCGGGACUGGGGGGGCGAGUUGGCCAUGUUCCAGAGCUGCCCCUGGGUCUCCCGGCUUGGCCCCCUCCACAGCACAAGUCCUCCCGAAGCUGGCCCUCUGGGGCCUCAUUUUCUGCUUUGUUCUGUUUGUCCUCCCCGCCUCCAGAGGCCAAGAAGUGAGAACGCGGUCAAUGGAGGGAAGCAGGAGAAGGGCAGAAAGAUACCCCUCAAAGAACUCGCAGGCUCUGAGCAGCGGCCGGGAUGCUGGGAACCCGGGGGAAGGUUCCAAGUUCAGAGGGAAACAGUCUUCAGGCCAGAAUUCCUCUCCACUGCUGCUCAAGGACCAGAGUCACCAAGGCGCCCUCCUCCACCUAAGGCCUGCUUCCCCCCACCUCCCCACGAAGCCACUGGAGGACAAACCCCUGAGGAAGGAGAGGUCGAGAAGGAGGCAAGGAGGCAGGGCAGGUACUCAACCAGCAGGGUGGCCUCUGGGCCCAAGGUGGUGGCGGAAAGUCCCUGAGAGGAGGCCUCUGGAAAGGAGGUGAGGGCAGAGGAGGGAACAGGAGGGAUGUGGGGCGUCUCAGAGGCGUGGGGAACAGUGGUGGGGUGUGGCAAGGGCCCCGUGCACAGAGUGUCCUCUCACGGGGAUUGUUGGCCUUCUAGAGGGAGAAGUGUGUAGUCAAAAGUAUUUACGUGGUACACUGUGCACGUGUGUGUGUGUGUGUGUGUGUGUGUGUGUGUGUUUAACUUUCAGAUUCUAUUUCGGGAUAAUUUACUCAACAUGAAAACGUGUAAAUGUUAUCAUUUUGUUUAAUCAUACGCUGGGAGUGAUGGUGCCUCACAGGGAGUGGGGGUGGGGGGGAAGACAGAUAGGUAGCACCACUCACAAAACGGGGUUCAGGAGUCACCCCCGGGGUCAAUGGCUGUGGGCAGCCCCUCAGUGUGUUGACCUGGGUCCUUCAAUUCUGAUGUUUCCCUGUGUUAUUUCUUUCCUCACUUCCCUUCUCCAUUUAAAGACCUCUAGGAUCGGGGCGCCUGGGUGGCUCAGUUGGUCAAGUGUCUGACUUCGGCUCAGGUCAUGAUCUCAUGGUUCGUGAGUUUGAGCCCCGCGUCGGGCUCUGUGCUGAUAGGCAGAGCCUGCUUGGGACUCUCUCUCUUCCUCUCUGAGAUUUUAUAUAGACUCUCUGAAGGUUUAUUCUGCUCUCUUUUUUGUUUGCUUUAACUCAGAGUUCCCCUUUUUUCCUGUAUUGGUCGAUUUCUUUUGGUCUUUGACUUUUGUGUCAGGCACAUAUUUGGAGCUGGGGCCUCAGGGUGCCGACGAAGGUUCUGUGACGGGUGACCCGGAGGUCGGCUCGUUAGGGAGCCCCGCUGUCACUCUCUGCAGAUGACAGUCCUGUGCCCCAAAUGACCUGGCCUCCCUGCUGGGCAAGGGGACGGAGCCCCCUUCCAAGGACAGCUCCCUCUUACACUUUCCUGGGGCUGUUGUAACAAGUCAGCACAAACUUGGUGACUUAAAACAACAGAAACCUAUUUUCUCACGGUUCUGGAGGCCAGAAGUUUGAGAUAAUGGUGUGCACAGGGCUGGGCUCCGGCCAGAGGCUCCGGUGGGGGGGUCCUUCCUUGCCUCUCGCCUCUUCCAGGGCUCCGGGUAUUCCUUGGUUCGUGGUUACACCAGUCCAUUCUCUGCCUCCAUUUCCUCCUCCUCUCCCCAUGUCUUCCGUCUUCGAUCCUUUGCGAGGGCGCUGUUCAUCGCCACCCACCAGGUCUCAUGUCAUAGUCCUUGACUUAGUCAUAUCUGCAAAGAUCUGUUUCCAAAUAGAGUCACAUUCCGAGGUUCUGGGGCUUAGGAGGUGGACAUAUCUUUUGGGGGGGGUACCACCAUUCAACGCACUAUACUCUCCCAACUCCCUACACAUCUCCUGUUCCAACAGAAAUCCCUACAGAGUGAGUUCUCUGCAGAGUCUUGUGGGAAAAGACCAGAGGAUUCAGCCCCUGUGGGUCUGCAGGGAGCCAUCCUGCUCUGUGUCACUGAACGGAAGGAUAAUAAAGUGUACGAAGGA